GAUGAACGCCAGCUACAGGCUUAACACAUGCAAGUCGCGGGGCAGCAUGGGGGUUGCUUGCAAUCCCCGAUGGCGACCGGCGCACGGGUGAGUAACGCGUAUCCAACCUGCCCUUCACCACGGGAUAACCCGGCGAAAGUCGGACUAAUACCGUAUGUUGUCCAUUGACGGCAUCCGAUUUGGACGAAAGGCUUGGCGGUGAGGGAUGGGGAUGCGUCCGAUUAGCCAGACGGCGGGGUAACGGCCCACCGUGGCUACGAUCGGUAGGGGUUCUGAGAGGAAGGUCCCCCACACUGGAACUGAGACACGGUCCAGACUCCUACGGGAGGCAGCAGUGAGGAAUAUUGGUCAAUGGGCGUAAGCCUGAACCAGCCAAGUAGCGUGCAGGAUGACGGCCCUAUGGGUUGUAAACUGCUUUUAUGCGGGGAUAAAGUGGCCCACGUGUGGGCUUUUGCAGGUACCGCAUGAAUAAGGACCGGCUAAUUCCGUG
RNAcentral lists this ribosomal RNA (490 nucleotides) under uncultured bacterium. RNAcentral describes it as "partial 16S ribosomal RNA". It matches the Rfam family "Bacterial small subunit ribosomal RNA", at positions 28 to 507 of the family's 1533-position model. The record is from RNAcentral.